Molecule: unclassified non-coding RNA, 1185 nt
Filed under: Polistes fuscatus (common paper wasp)
Lineage: Eukaryota; Metazoa; Arthropoda; Insecta; Hymenoptera; Vespidae
Description: prolyl endopeptidase FAP-like, transcript variant X1
Source: RNAcentral
AGUUGAACUAGCCGUCGACGGCAGUACGCCGUCGACCGUCGAAGGUGUUCGGUCUACUUGUCGAUGGUAUUCCCGGUUCGACAUUUUUUUCCUAUUCUAACUGUUUAUUCGAUAUAAGAACUUUUGUUUUUAUUUUUAAUUCCUCAAACAGUGCAUUUGAGAGAUAGGAAAAGUCUCUGGUGCGUUUAACGAAUAUAUUUGUUAUAUAUUGGGCUUGAUAUUUUUUUUUUCUUUUACUUUGAUAGAGUCAGUGGUGAAAGAGGAGGAAGAACGUUGUUUCAAUAAGCGGCAUCGCGUGAAAAAUUAAAUACAGCUUUCGCCAUACCACCCAGCGAAGGGUGAUUAAUGGAUUCGAUUCGUUGAACCGAAGCAAGCCGUGUAACGAAAAAGGAUAGAUCUAUAGAAGUGGAUAAUAUAGAGAUAUAGAGAGUGUUAAAGAGAGACGGAACGAUUCGGGGAAAAAGAAAAACAGAGGUAAAGUGUGGAAGAAGAGGAAAGUGUACGAGUGAGAAAGCAGGAAAGAAAGAAAGGGAAAAGAGUUAGUUCGAAAGGUGGUGAGUGGAGGGAAAAGGAAAAUAUAAGAGGAGAGAAUAGAGAAAGGAGGAAGGAUUUUAUUUCCGAAAGUGUGGAGAGCCCUUGCAGAGACGAAGGACCAACGACCAUGACGGAGGGCGGACUCGAUGUUUGUGUAAUAAAUAUCAGAUCACAAUUGGAUAGCGUGUGGUAAUCGUAAAUACUACGUAAAUUCUUGGAAUCGUGGGGUUGGCCUGCGUUUAAACGUGGCUAGCUCAAAUGAGGCCGGUCCAUUGGAUAGUUGGAAUCUAAUGACGAAGAACAAGCGGACAAAUUGGCGUCGGCUGUUGGCAGGCGGCUUGGUAGCCAUUGUCGCAUUGGCCUUGGUAGUCGCCGCAGUAAUUCUUUUGACCGGCAGCCCAGAUAGCUCAACAUCAAGAACGACAAGCGCGCCUGGCAUUUCCCUCGAAGAAUGGCUCGCCGGUUCGUUAUCUCCCAAGAGCUUCAACGCGACCUGGCUCAGCGGAAAUGAGAUUCUUUACCGUGACGAAAUUGGGAAUCUUGUCAUCUAUAAUGUCGAAUCGGCCUCUUCUAAGAUCAUCCUUGACAUGACAAAUUCCGUAAGUAUUUUAAAAUUUAAAUAACCUUUUUAAAUUUGUUACUUUUUUUAUU